This 494-nucleotide long non-coding RNA is filed under the name Mytilus galloprovincialis (Mediterranean mussel). The record is from RNAcentral. Lineage: Eukaryota; Metazoa; Mollusca; Bivalvia; Mytilida; Mytilidae.
GCGCUAAGUAUAUUUUAUCGAGAAUUUUAUCACAGUGUUGUUUACAAAGCUAAAGAAGCACGUCAUAUUAGAAUUAAAGAUGAACAUUUUCAAAGAAUCUUUUACAGUAUAGAACAUGAGAUUUUUUUUUAAUUCUUUUUUUAAAUCUGUGCUUACCAAAGUAAGUUUCAGAAAAGGGAGAAGGUUUGGUACAUGUACCAUUAAAACAUUUAAUCCUGCUGUAAAUGUUUGCACUUGUCCUAAGUCAGAAAUCUGAUGUACAGUAGUUGUUGUCUGUUUAUGUAGUUCAUACGUGUUUCUCGUUUCGGGUUUUCAUAUAGAUUAGACCAAUGGUUUUCCGGUUUGAAUGGUUUUACACUAGUAAUUUUGGGAUCCUUUAUAGCUUGCUGUUUGGUGUGAGUCAAGGCUCCAUGAUGAAGGCCCUACCUUGACCUACAUGUAUAAUGGUUUACAUUUAUAAAUUAUUACUUGGAUGAAGGUUGUCUUAUUGGCAC